CUUAGCUCAGUUGGAUAGAGCAUCGGACUUCUAAUCCGGCGGCCGCAGGUUCGAGCCCUGCAGG
This 64-nucleotide transfer RNA is filed under the name pig gut metagenome. It matches the Rfam family "tRNA", at positions 6 to 65 of the family's 71-position model. Rfam says of the family: Transfer RNA (tRNA) molecules are approximately 80 nucleotides in length. Their secondary structure includes four short double-helical elements and three loops (D, anti-codon, and T loops). The record is from RNAcentral.